Ribosomal RNA from Bison bison bison, 119 nucleotides. Lineage: Eukaryota; Metazoa; Chordata; Mammalia; Artiodactyla; Bovidae. The record is from Ensembl.
UUCUACAAGCAUAGCACUCUGAAUGUGCCCGAUCUUGUCCGAUCCCAGAAACUAAGCGGGUUUGGGCCUGUUUAAUACUUGGACGGGAGACCGCCUGAGAAUACCGGGUGCUAUAGGCU